This 277-nucleotide small RNA is filed under the name Paramuricea clavata. Lineage: Eukaryota; Metazoa; Cnidaria; Anthozoa; Malacalcyonacea; Plexauridae. The record is from RNAcentral.
AUAAAUCCUGCAAGAUCAUGGAAAGAUCUUGCAUGAUCUUGCAAGAUCUUUCCAAGUUCUUGCAGGAUCUUACCUAAGAUCUUGCAGGAUCUUGCAAGAUCUUUCCAUGUUCUUGCAGGAUCUUACCUAAGAUCUUGCAAGAUCUUGCCAUUAUCAUGGCAAGAUCUUGCCAUUAUCAUGGCAAGAUCUUGCAGGAUUUGUACCAAGAUCAUGCCAAGAUCUUACAUAAAUCCUGCAAGAUCAUGGAAAGAUCUUGCAUGAUCUUGCAAGAUCUUUC